This 1131-nucleotide long non-coding RNA is filed under the name Homo sapiens (human). Its description in RNAcentral is "HSALNT0015806". Lineage: Eukaryota; Metazoa; Chordata; Mammalia; Primates; Hominidae. The record is from RNAcentral.
CAUCUGUGUCCCUGAGACCCUGAGAAGAGCUGUACAUAGAGCUUGCUUACUACCACUGGUUCUUCCUCUUGGGCUUUCAGCCCAGACUCCAAGCAGCUGCUAUCAACCCUCUCUCCCUUCAUCUCUUAGCCUUGCUUAUUUUUAUUUUGGGACCGAGCUGCCCACUAGAUGACUCUGCUUUUCCCUGCAUUUGGGGCUAAGGUGCCAGGUACUUAUUUGCACAGGGAGCAGGAGCAGCAAAAAAUCUCUGGUUCUCCAGAGCACUCGUCCUCUCUUUGGAGGGGUUAUUAGGUUGGGAGAAAUGUUGAUACUUUUGUUUUGUGUGUGUGUGUGUGUGUGUGUGUGUGUGUGUGUGUGUGUGUGUUUUAACAUCUGUGAACCAGGCUAUUAGUCCUGCUAAAGCGCCAAUCCUGCUGUCAGAGCUCACCCCCUUCCUAAGACAGGAAUGUUCACAUCCAAAGGGUUGGACCCACGGAUCAUUCUGAAUCUUCCUGCCCCUCCUCACUGCUUAACCCUGAGAACCACAAAUAUAAUGGAAGCAGUUCCCCCCACCCUCACCCCAUCUCUUUAAGCUCAUCCUAGCAAGACCUCUAGAGACCCUAGAGACUCGACUUUAGUCCUUCCCCGCCAUGGCACAGUGGGGAAGGUGUCAAUGGGGAGUGUCACGGACAGGAGGUAGGAUCCUGCCGCUCGCGUCUUAGUGUUUCUCCCUCAAGACUUUCCUUCUGUUUUGUUGUCUUGUGCAGUAUUUUACAGCCCCUCUUGUGUUUUUCUUUAUUUCUCGUACACACACGCAGUUUUAAGGGUGAUGUGUGUAUAAUUAAAAGGACCCUUGGCCCAUACUUUCCUAAUUCUUUAGGGACUGGGAUUGGGUUUGACUGAAAUAUGUUUUGGUGGGGAUGGGACGGUGGACUUCCAUUCUCCCUAAACUGGAGUUUUGGUCGGUAAUCAAAACUAAAAGAAACCUCUGGGAGACUGGAAACCUGAUUGGAGCACUGAGGAACAAGGGAAUGAAAAGGCAGACUCUCUGAACGUUUGAUGAAAUGGACUCUUGUGAAAAUUAACAGUGAAUAUUCACUGUUGCACUGUACGAAGUCUCUGAAAUGUAAUUAAAAGUUUUUAUUGAGCCCC